Molecule: long non-coding RNA, 1310 nt
Filed under: Cricetulus griseus (Chinese hamster)
Lineage: Eukaryota; Metazoa; Chordata; Mammalia; Rodentia; Cricetidae
Description: lncRNA (ENSCGRG00015039268.1)
Source: RNAcentral
GGCCUGAGGUUCCCAUGGAGACAUCGCCCCAUCCCAGGGGAGUCCACAGCCUGGGCACCUAAAAUGGCUGCCUCAGAGGGGCAGCGGCCAUUUUGUUCUGGCUGGGGCCUGAGGGGCAGGGGGUGAGGGUGCUGAGGUAAGCACGGAGGAGGAGAGAGGGCAGAGGGCGGCAGGGAGGAGACAGGUCAUUCCUGAGCAGACUAGGGGAAUCCUGCUCAGGGGGCAGGAAGAAUCUACUAGAAAACUGCUCUUCCCUACACCCCUUGCUGUCCCCAGAUAAAUCAUUCAUAGUGAAUCUGGAAAUGUCCCCCUCUGUUCUGACCCUCCGAAGGAAGGACAGCUGGCCAGCCGCCCCGCGCCCCCAGUAAGACUGGUAGGUAGGUGGCCCGUGUGAGGAAGGCUUGCUGUGCCACCAUGGCGGGCCUAGGGAGCAGGUGGGUCAGGCCCACAGGCCCAGAAGUCCACGCCCCGGCUGCAGCCAGACGUGGGUCUCCCGGGGCCUCCCUGGCCGGGUGGACAGGGCCUGGACCCCUCUCCUUUGUCUGCCUCCCUUGAAGGGCCCAGGCUGCCCACACUGCUCAUCUUGCCUGAAACUGCCCGAAAUGCAAAGCUGGUUGUGGUAUUCACCCACUCCACCAGCGUGAGUGUCUCUACCUCCACCCCACAGCAGAGUCUCCUCCUUCCGACUCUGAUGCUGAAGAUGGAAUCCAGGACCUCUCCUAAGCCAGGCAAGUGUUCCACCAUUGAGCUGCACUUCCCAGCCCUGCAAGCCUCCUCACCGUGUUCCACUGGGAAGAAGGAACCACAGCACAGGAGAGAGGAGCCAGGCCUCGCAGAAUCCUCCAAGGAAGUCCUUGGCACCUAGCAGGCCCCCUGUCACUCGCUGCUUCUUUCUCCUCCUCGUCCUUCGUCUGCCUAGCUCCGGGUUCUCGCCUCACCACCCCCGUCCGCGCCUGGCACUGCGCCCGGUGCGCCCCAGCCGCCGGAUCGCGCUCGCAGUCCUGACUUCGUGCCUGCCGGGCUCCGUGGCACGUGCCCCACGCGCCCCUGCCCCGUGCCGCACCCCUCCGGGCGGCCUCCGCGCCCGCCCUGACCUCCGGAGGUCGCCUGGGGACGUCGGUGGUCCGGGCUCUGAGGUGGGGGCUGCGGCGGCGGCAAGGAGAGGACGCGGCGCCUUUAAGGUGCCACCGCCGCGUGGCAGGGAGACAGCUUGUGCCAGCCCCAUUCCGCCCGGCUCCGCUCGCGACGAGAAACACAAUGCAUAACAAUCAGGCGCGCGCUUGGAGCUGUGCCACGCGGCGGGCGGGCGG